CCUACGGGAGGCUGCAGUGGGGAAUUUUGGACAAUGGGCGCAAGCCUGAUCCAGCAAUGCCGCGUGAGUGAAGAAGGCCUUCGGGUUGUAAAGCUCUUUCAGUUGAAAAGAAAAAAUCGUGACUAAUAAUCAUGGUUCAUGACGGUAUCAACAGAAGAAGCACCGGCUAACUACGUGCCAGCAGCCGCGGUAAUACGUAGGGUGCAAGCGUUAAUCGGAAUUACUGGGCGUAAAGGGUGCGCAGGCGGUUCUGUAAGUCAGAUGUGAAAUCCCCGGGCUUAACCUGGGAACUGCGUUUGAAACUGCAGAGCUAGAGUGCGGCAGAGGGAGGUGGAAUUCCAUGUGUAGCAGUGAAAUGCGUAGAGAUAUGGAAGAACAUCGAUGGCGAAGGCAACCUCCUGGGCUAGCACUGACGCUCAUGCACGAAAGCGUGGGGAGCAAACAGGCUUAGAUACCCUGGUAGUC
This 465-nucleotide ribosomal RNA is filed under the name uncultured beta proteobacterium. RNAcentral's name for it is "bacterial SSU rRNA". It matches the Rfam family "Bacterial small subunit ribosomal RNA", at positions 338 to 795 of the family's 1533-position model. Lineage: Bacteria; Pseudomonadati; Pseudomonadota; Betaproteobacteria. The record is from RNAcentral.